UGUCCUUUGGUAAAAGCAGAUCAUAGAGGAAGAACAGGGGUUAGUUUUGGUCCAUCUAAUAACGUAAACUGAAGUGGAGAAAGGGACUCGUGUAGCUUCUCAUUUAAUUCUUUGUUUUGGAUGUGGAGCAAGUUUGAGACCCCACACGUCUCCCUCCUAGUAUAUGGUGUUAGAUUCUUCCCCUCUCAGAGUCCACCUCCUUGCUCUUCGG
Molecule: long non-coding RNA, 211 nt
Filed under: Carica papaya (papaya)
Lineage: Eukaryota; Viridiplantae; Streptophyta; Magnoliopsida; Brassicales; Caricaceae
Description: long non-coding RNA (CPAP_LNC005095)
Source: RNAcentral